AGGACGGGGCUCUGACCUUGGUGGUGGAUCCCCAGGGGCGGGUGUGAUUUGGCUGUUCGUGGAUUUCCUGGUCUGGGGGUGGGCCUGGGGAUCUGCAUUUUAAGCGGGACCUUGGUGAUUCUGAUACUGGGGGUCCUUGGGAAACACUGCAACUCUUUACGAAGCCCAAAGGACGUGUCUCACCCUCCACAUGCCUUUGGGCUUUGCACACCUGGUGUGGGGCGUGGGCGUGUGAGUGUGUGCACGUGUGUGGAAGUUUACCAGGCCCUCCCUUGGUACCAGUGCAUGUCUGGGGUGAAUGCCUGUCCCGUGGCCACCAAUUCAAUGUUCACUUAGGGACUGUAUGGUUAUUUAGCCCUUAUUCCUGAAGAAGACAGUGGGGCCCAGACUGUCAAGUUAACCUGCCCAGCCGCACCUGCUUAUUAGAGAUAGAACACGAAUUCCAGUCGAGCCGGACUCUGGCACCCGGGCCCCGUUCAGAAGAACUGGAAUCUGCAGGCCCCAAGCCUCUCUUUCCUUCCAUGGACGGUGUAGCUGGUGCCAUAUUUAGUGAAAGGUGGGGGUGAGGGGACAUGCCUGGAGACCCUGGUAAUAACCAUUCCUGUACUUUGACAAGAACGGAGUUAUGUGAAUGGUUUGAUGACGUGCAUUUGAAUAUUGUUGUAAUCAGAUUUUCUCUUUCAACCCUCCCCCAUUUCUCUCUCACCUCCGCCCCCUACUCUCACUCCCUGCCCCUUUCAAGACUCUCGCGCCCAGCUGCCAGCUCCUCGAAACCCGAAGGUUCACCUGUACAAUGCUGAGCAGGUUCUGAGUUGGGAGCCGGGGUCGCUGAGCAAUGACACAAGGCCGGUGGUCUACCAGGUGCAGUUCAAAUACCCCUCUGACAGUAGGUGGUACGACACCAGGGACAUAGGCGUGGACUGUAUGAACGUCACCACGACGGAGUGUAACUUCACCCCAACUAGCCUGUCAAAUGGUUUCCCACCACAUUUCAACGUCUCUUUACGUGUCCGAGCUAAGUUGGAGGACCUGGUUUCCCCAUGGCUGUCAGUGCCUUGGUUCCUGUACUAUUGGAAUGGUAAGAGAACUUGGCUGUAAAACUUCUUUAUCAUUUAGGCUUUCUUCACUUUACUCCUCACUGAGAAGUAUGGAUUCCAUGCACCCCAGUCCUGUCUCUGACUCCGCAUAGCCAGCAAACAGAAAGACUUUCAUUCAGCCUUGAACAGUGCCUGGCACAGAGCGGAUAUGCCGGAAAGCUUGGUUGAAUGAGCAGAUGUGCUCCCGGAAAUCGGAAGAGGGCGUAAGAAUCGACAGAUACUAGUUUGUACAUUCGCUCCUUCCAUGAUUCAUGUCUCACAUGGUCAGCUGUGUCCCAGGUUUCUUCAGUGUUUAUGGUUUAGGCAAACAAAGUAUGGGAUCCUGACUCAAACAGAAACAGAGGUAGAAGACAGCUGAGGAAGUUUGGUCACUGUGUAGCUAUUUGAUGAUCUAGUAAGCGAUUAUUGUUAGUUUAUCUUAGGUAUUAUCAUGGUAUUUUAUGUUUUUAAAAGCGGGGGUCCUAUCCUUUAGAGACACAUACUGGAGUUUUUACAUGAGAUGAUGUGAUGUUUGGGGUUUGUUCAAAAUAAUCCAGAGAGUGGGAGGGCUGAGGGAAAGGGGGAUGAGAGGAACAAAAUUGGCCAUGACCUGACGGCCAUGCGGCCGCCUCCGUCGCUCCGUCGCUCCUGUCGCUGCUGCUGCCGCUGCUGUUGCUGCUCGGCGGCCGCGCCGCCGCCGCGGCCCUGGCAGACUCUCGCGCCCAGCUGCCAGCUCCUCGAAACCCGAAGGUUCACCUGUACAAUGCUGAGCAGGUUCUGAGUUGGGAGCCGGGGUCGCUGAGCAAUGACACAAGGCCGGUGGUCUACCAGGUGCAGUUCAAAUAGUAAGCUGGAUCUUUCUGUUGGCAUCCUUACGGGGAGUGGUGCGGGGGGGCUGGGGGCCAGCCGAUCGGGCUUGCCUCUUGGCAGGAUUGAGGGCAAAUCCACUGGAAGCAGAUAUUUCUCUUGUACUUUUAAAAUCUCGGAGGACAGGGCGCCUGGGUGGCUCAGUCAGUUAAGCGACUGCCUUCGGCUCAGGUCAUGAUCCCGGAGUCCCGGGAUCGAGUCCCGCAUCGGGCUCCCUGCUCAGCGGGGAGUCUGUUUCUCCCUCUGACCCUCCCCCCUCUCGUGCUCUCUCUUUCUCAUUCUCUCUCUCAAAUAAAUAAAUAAAACCUUAAAAAAAAAAAUCUCGGAGGACAGAGAUUUCACCACCUCCCACUCACACGAAGGCUUAGACAGUAUUGGUGUCAGAGACUCGGCUGCCUCCCCACAGGGCUUCUUAGUUGGGCGGGGAGACUGUUCUCACUGGUUUCAGGAGAGGUGUGUAGAAGAGGGCUUCCUGUCUAGAAAGGGCAGGAGGCACCUUGUAGCCUUCAUCUUCUUCAAGUUUGAAAACCUGGUUAUCGAACUUUACGGGCCAGAUUUGACCUACUAAGGAAAGUAUUCACUUCAUUACUACUAAUUCUCGAUUUCUAAAAGGGGUUUUCCAUUUCACACAUUCUUCUGGCCCCUCAUUCUCUCGCUCACCCGCUUUCACAGUUUAUCAUCGCUCGGUGUGCAACAGAAACGCGUAAGGGAAAAAGAAAGGCAGAAUCGAAGUCCUCCGUUGUUACGUGUUUACCUCGUUACAUAGGUUAAGAGAAGACUAAGUUAAAAUUAUUGGCCGAGUCAUUUUAUAUUACCAGUUACACAAAAUUUAAGGAAAUGGUAAUGCUCAGUGCUUGGGAGAGUGUGGUUGAUGGAGAUCGUGCUGGGUGAGGACGCGUUCGCACAGCCCUCCAGCAGAGUCAUCCACCAUAGAGCUAGAGACACAGAAAUGUCCACGUCACUUUCCCCCUACGCAGGUAAUACAAGCCCCCUUCAGAAAAAGAAAAAAAAAAUGGGGUCCCCGGGUGGUUCGGUCAGUUAAGCGUCUGACUCUUGGUUUCAGCUCAGGUCAUGAUCUCCCAGUUGAGGGAUGGAACCCUGAGUCGGGCUCUGUGCUCAGUGCGUAAUCUGCUUCAGAUUCUCUCUCCCUCUCCCAAAACUCUCGCUCUCUCAAAUAAAUAAAUAAAAUCUUAAAAAAAAAAAAAAAAGGAAAGGAAAAAAAGCCACUGGUAUUCGUGAAGAUAGACAUUGAAGUAUAAAUUCAUGUCCAUCUGCAGAAAAAUGCCAAAUUGUGUCAUGUUAACUAGUAGUUGAACAUUAGGCAACUAUUAAAAAGGAUAAUCUGGUAGUGGUCGCAACUGUGUAAAAUUUGGACCAUAUCUGUGGUCAAGAACAGGGAAGGAACCUGGAAAAAUUACGGGCACUUCAUUUGUAAGAGGAGUGCGUCUCCAGGUGACUUCUUUUUCACCUUUGAAUGUCCAUUGUAACAACAUUUGCUUAAUAAAAAUCGAUUCUAAACCAGGGUUUAGGGGUCAUCUCUGAAUUACAUUUAGCUGUUUCUCAAAUAAGUGCCAAUAAUCUAUUGUAAGCAGACCAGUCCACGAGGACCAGCUAUAUAAUUUGUGGGGCCCAGCACAAAAUGAAAAUGGUGCAAGGCCCCCUGUCCAGAAUUACUGAGAACUUCAAGAUGGCGACAGCCGAGCAUCAAACUGAGUGCCUCCUCAGAGGGGGGCUUUGUGCCCCUCCAUGGGUCACGAGCCCGAGAAGCUGGCCCUCCUCAGCAUUCAGUAAACAUGAUGUCGUAGAACUAAACAAGAUUUCGGUGACAGGAAGUCACAGCUGAUAUCCUGACUCACAUCCCUUAGCCUUGAAGGGGGAAGUACAUCUCUGGGUCGACAGAGUUCAAGAGAUAGUAGAAAUAUUCCUUGAAGGCUUUGACAGUUUCCUUUCCCAGACUGACAUGUUUACUUCGUUUCCCUUUUGGAAAGCAUUUUGCAGGUGUUUUUUUCAGGAUAGAGGUUGGUUUUGGUAAAAGAAACAAAGGAUGGGGUGAAUGUGAACGUCCUUCUUUGGAAAAGUUGAGGGGUAAUGAGAAACUGAAACCAGGGCUGGUCUUGUUUUCUUUUCCAAUCGCAGAUUUGAUGAGAGGCGGGCCUUUGCUCUUGUUUUGUUUUUAGAGACUUUUACAUGUUUGGGACAUUUUAGCGACAUGAAAUAAUUUCAUUUUGAGACUUGUGGGACUUAGAACUUUUCCAUCCUGUUUCUCUACAGUAAAGCGUUACUGUAAUUAGAAAUGAAGGUGCCUGUUUUCUGACAGUACAGCAACCAAAGCCAAAAUUACACUGAGCACUGUGGGAAAAUGUCAAGUUUAAAUCAGGGGUUGCAGAGAGUGUGGCCUUCAGGCUGUGUUUGACCCCCAGUGUUUAAUUUUUUUUUUUUUUUCACUUAGUGCCAACAUUAAAAAAUCUGGAGAUUUCACUUUGAGAAAACUUGACCUGACCAGCCCAGUCUUCUGAAAACGUUUUUUUAUUUCAUUUUAUUUUUCUGAUUUUAACAGCAACACGUGUUCUUUACAAAAAGGCUAGAACACCCAGAAAAGUAGAAAGAAUAAAAUUUAAACAACCUAGUGCUCUACAGCCCAAGAAUAAUCCCUGUUCUCCUUCUGGCGUAUUUCUCUAUAGACUUUUUUCUAAAUGCAUGCACUUGGUUUGAAAAUGUGCUAGGGUAUGCGUAAAAAUGAAACAAAACUGGGGUUACGCUUUUGGGUGCUGCUUCCUUUUUUUUUUUUUUUUUCAAGAUUUUUUAAUUUAUCUAUUUGAGAGAGAGAGAAUGAGAGACAGAGAGCACGAGAGGGAAGAGGGCAGAGGGAGAAGCAGACCCCCUGCCGAGCAGGGAGCCCGAUGCGGGACUCGAUCCCGGGACUCCAGGAUCAUGACCCGAGCCGAAAGCAGUCGCUUAACCAACUGAGCCAGCCAGGCGCCCCCCCCCCUUUUUUUUUUCAACCAAACAUAGUUAAGUGUAUGAGCACUUUUCCUCCUAAUGGUCUCUGUGUAAACAUUUUUACUGCUCAUUUUAUUAGAUGAUGCAUCACACAUGAUGUAUUUAACGCUUCCCCACUUGCGGGUGUAGACGGUCACCAGCUUGGGUCCUCGUACAUAAAUCAUCUGAUUGUUUUCUUCAUUUGUAGCAGAGGGAUUGCUGGGUCAGAGGGGACACUUGCCAUUUUUGGAAGUGAUCUAACAGAGGCCAAACAGUGAAGUCCAUAGUCGCCCAGGUGUGGAACCUGGCACCAUUUACAUGGUGCUUCCUGGGCACCAGGUCCUGGCUCAGGCACUUUCCUAAUGUCGGCUGGUGCAACCUUCAUGAUCCCUCGGGGAGGCAAAUACCAUAAUUUAUCCCCAUUUUAUAGAUAAGGGACUAAGGAACAGAGAGGCAGGUGAUGGGGAUUUGAACCCAGGUCAUCUGGCUCCAGAGUCCAUGUGUUCAACCACCAUGCUGUGCUCCCUCUCAUGAUGAGGGCUGCUUUCGAACUGAAAUUCAGGGUCAGAGGCAGUCCAUGAUGGAUACAUGGUGAGGGGGCGCCCGCUGGACUGUCGGGGUGAGACUCGGCCACGCCCGGGCCACGACAGGAGGCCAAGUCUGGCGGUGGGCGGAGCCGUGCUCGAGGCCGGGGUCACUGAAGUGCGGCCAACAUCAUCCCCUUAUUUACCCCCUUUGCGAAGAGAGGGGGAGGCGGCCUCCAGAACGCAGCUUCCUUUUCCGCACUUCCCCCUGAAACUGCUGUCAUGGGCCAGCUGUCACUUAAAUUGGGAGGGUUUGUCCCCCCUUAGGCCCCUUUGUGGAGAAACAUUGUUCAAAAGCAGUUCUGAGACAGGGCCAAGAGUGGAGGAGAGGGGAGGAUGGGGAACAGGAGUAGUCCAUUCCCUGGUAAGUCGGGAAAUGAGCCUUUGAAAUGUGGGGAGCCUUUUGCCCAAGUUCAACAGCUGGGAUCUGCAGGGGAGAAGGUUAGAGUAUCUCUAAGUAUCUGUAUAACUUUUUAAAGAUCGCUUACCCCUUCUAAAGCACACCCCUAAUCUAAGACGGGGCUACAUGUGCUUAGGGGGAUCCCCCUCCCCAGUAGAGUCUGGCCCCUGGGGCUUGGUGGUAAUGUGAGUAUGGCAGCAUCUUCCACGGAAGCCACGGCCACGCAUCUUGAAGUGGCCUUCAUCUUGCCACUGGCCACUUUGACAGAGGAGUCUCCAGUCAGGGUCAAAGGCACCCUUAGAAGUGUGGUGUGUGAGAGCUGGUGGCAGGGAUCCCCAGCCUCGUCUCUUCUGUCUCCCCAACCUUGCUUCCUAGGCCAGAGAUGCUGUGGGGCGCAUAGCCUGUCUCUACAGAGCACACAGCCUACUGCCCCCCACUGAGGUCCCUAGCAGCCACCUCUCUGGUUUUUCUCAAGUCUGUCACCUAAGCACAGAGAUUAAAGCUGGAGAGUAGAGUUCCAUGUGGGGGUGUGGCAUUGGGACUCUGGGGAAUGCAUUGUCAUUUACAAGAAUAUGUGACCUCGUAUUUAGCAGGGUUUUCUUUUUUUUUUUUUAAAGAUUUUAUUUAUUUAUUUGACAGAGAGAGACACAGAGAGAGAGGGAACACAAGCAGGGGGAGUGGGAGAGGGAGAAGCAGGCUUCCUGCGGAGCAGGGAGCCCGAUGUGGGGCUCGAUCCCAGGACCCUGAGAUCAUGACCUGAGCCGAAGGCAGACGCUUAACGACUGAGCCACCCAGGCACCCCUUAGCAGGGUUUUCAUACGGGUGAUGCAAACUUUAAAUGGGCAGCUGUGGGAUAAAACAAACUCCACACCAGCAAGAAGCAUGAGUGGGGUUUGUAUGAACACGGUAUCUUUCCUAAGACAUUGGCUACAGAGGCUGAGUUUGAAGAAUCAAAAUCAGUUGCAGGACUGAAUGGGAAAUGUCUGAUAAGAGACUUGCAUCCAGAGUAUAUAAAGAACUCUUACAACUCAACAAUUAAAAGACAACCCAAUUAAAAUACAGAGAAAGGGUUUGAGUAGACAGUUCUCCAAAGAAAAUAUACAAAUGGCCAAUAAAUACAUAAAAAGAUGCCCAACAUCAAUAUUCAUCAAAGAAAUGCGAAUUUAAGGGCACCUGGGUGGCUCAGUUGGUUAAGCGACUGCCUUCGGCUCAGGUCAUGAUCCUGGAGUCCCGGGAUCGAGUCCCACAUUGGGCUCCCUGCUCGGCGGGGAGUCUGCUUCUCCCUCUCCCACUCCCCGUUUGUGUUCCCUCUCUCGCUGUGUCUUUCUCUGUCAAAUAAAUAAAUAAAAUCUUUAAAAAAAAAAAAAGAAAUGCGAAUUUAAGACCACAGUGAUCCACCACAGCACCACCACUAGGAUGGCCAUAAAAAAAAAAAAAGAGGCAUAAUGACAAGCGUUGGUGAGGAUGUGGAGAAAUUGGAACCCUCG
RNA transcript from Mirounga angustirostris (Northern elephant seal), 7393 nucleotides. It is a transcript of the gene named interferon gamma receptor 2-like, with no coding region annotated. NCBI's taxonomy places the organism in Eukaryota, Metazoa, Chordata, Mammalia, Carnivora, Phocidae. The record is from RefSeq and is a predicted model, not a curated record. The transcript is spliced from 4 exons.